Long non-coding RNA from Symphalangus syndactylus (siamang), 1009 nucleotides. RefSeq lists it as uncharacterized. NCBI's taxonomy places the organism in Eukaryota, Metazoa, Chordata, Mammalia, Primates, Hylobatidae. The record is from RefSeq and is a predicted model, not a curated record.
CUCCUUCCAAGUGAGGAACACGGACAGGGCUUUCUCAGGAAGCUUUCUAGGACCCAGCUGCCUGCUGUUCUCGGGAGAACACAUCGGUUCUGUGCAUGGCCCUCUGUGGUAUGGGCACAGAUAGCAUUCCUCGCCAGGCUGCUGUGGGACUUUUCAUCCAGAAAUGGCACUGAAUGGAGAAUGAGUGAGGAAACAGACCCCCAUCUUUUGAGGAUCUGUGGACCCAGCCAGCUCUAGAAGAUCAAUUGCUCAGCCAAUGCACAGCUAAAAACGCCCUGCCACAGGGGGCAGGGACUGAAGAGGGUGGGAUCACAGUGAAAGAUGUAGCCCACAGUGUUGCUCACGAUUUCAGAGGAGAAUUGAAAAUGAGGAGGAAUGGAAUAUUCACAAGUGUGUCUACUUGUCAACAAAGCCUGCCAGGAUGCUGUGGGAAUUAAAUUACAUAGAAGCUGCAAAACAAUUUAGCUUUCUUGGAGUUGGACACCACCUGAACCUGAGUGAAAUGAUUGUGCACUUCUUAAUGGCCUCCAUCUCUGGCCAAGCUGCCUUGGGACUAGAACAACCGUCUAAGUCCCAGUUUCCAGCCUAAAACAGCAUGAGGACAAGGCCAGGAGGCCACAGCAAGGCUGUAAUCAGAACCCACAAGGAUUGCCUGGAGAUGCUGCAGUGCCGCCACCACCCAACGGCCAGAGCCCCCAGCAAAGGGAAACAAGGCACCUCAGAGGACUGAGAGACUCGGGACUUCCAGACAGAGGAUCAGGCGUACCUCAUGCACGCGUGUUUUGGAAGAAGGCCAUUUUGAAACCUACUCUGUAUCAUUACAGACUUUCAGUGAAUUAAUUUAGAAUAAAUCCACCUCCUUCCCUGUAUGUGGUAGAACUUCACUGGGAUGCAACGUGGGGACAGAGAUUUGAACCCUCAGUCCCACUUAUGAUGUGAGGCUUCAGGGGCACCACGGACAUGCUCCACAUUCACCCAUCUGUUGGGGAGGACUAAGGAAGCUGCGCUG